Molecule: ribosomal RNA, 463 nt
Filed under: Vreelandella stevensii
Lineage: Bacteria; Pseudomonadati; Pseudomonadota; Gammaproteobacteria; Oceanospirillales; Halomonadaceae
Description: partial 16S ribosomal RNA
Rfam family: Bacterial small subunit ribosomal RNA
Source: RNAcentral
CCUACGGGCGGCAGCAGUGGGGAAUAUUGGACAAUGGGGGGAACCCUGAUCCAGCCAUGCCGCGUGUGUGAAGAAGGCCCUCGGGUUGUAAAGCACUUUCAGUGAGGAAGAACGCCUGGUGGUUAAUACCCAUCAGGAAAGACAUCACUCACAGAAGAAGCACCGGCUAACUCCGUGCCAGCAGCCGCGGUAAUACGGAGGGUGCGAGCGUUAAUCGGAAUUACUGGGCGUAAAGCGCGCGUAGGUGGCUUGAUAAGCCGGUUGUGAAAGCCCCGGGCUCAACCUGGGAACGGCAUCCGGAACUGUCAAGCUAGAGUGCAGGAGAGGAAGGUAGAAUUCCCGGUGUAGCGGUGAAAUGCGUAGAGAUCGGGAGGAAUACCAGUGGCGAAGGCGGCCUUCUGGACUGACACUGACACUGAGGUGCGAAAGCGUGGGUAGCAAACAGGAUUAGAUACCCUUAGUC